This is a non-coding RNA of Gasterosteus aculeatus aculeatus (three-spined stickleback), 5053 nucleotides long. The record is from RefSeq and is a predicted model, not a curated record. Lineage: Eukaryota; Metazoa; Chordata; Actinopteri; Perciformes; Gasterosteidae.
UCUGUCAGUAUAUGUACCCCUGUGUUUGUUUCACCCAGGGUGGGUGUCACUGGUUGUGUGUAUGUGAGUGCUGGUGUAUGGUGGGGUAGUUAUUAGUUCUGGUGAUUUUCUGUACUGUGUAUUCAAUUAAUUGUUUUUUUUCUUUUGUUCUUUUUCUUACAGAGGGAUGAGUAGUUUAGCCCUGCUCCGGAGUUUACAUACCUGCACGUAGGGUUACUGUCCUGUCUAACAACACUAGCUACACCUGGCUGGGCCAUCUACUGUAAGUUUGGGUAGGGCGCCCUGUUAGUGUGCCAGUUAGUGGUUUUCGUUGGGGUGGGAGGCAUUUUGUUCUUUUCUUUGCUUUGGUACCGCCAGCCCUCCUCAUUUCCCCUGUUAACAGCGCUUAAAUAAAAGCCUGCUUACCCCAACUUUAGGUGAUGUUUGUUUUCUUGCACCUACGACGCCAUACCCGUUUACUGGUCACAGGUCGUCCUCGGGCAGUGACGUGAAUCCCACUCCCCUCCUGGGGAGUCAGAACGUAACAAGGGGGUUGUUACUCAGUUUCAGCUGCAUUGCUGUUGAUGGAAUUAACAACAGGUGCACUAGAGGGGCGACAAUGAGACGGCCCCCAAAACAGGAGUUUCUCCCUAUGGAUCUCUCUGACUGGGUUUUCACUAAUGUUGGCUUUAGCUAGAGUCAUCAUCACUACAGGGAGCAUGAGGCCAUUUCUUAACCCUUCAGAAGUUGCACAGAGUGUCCAGCCCCUCCCGGAUGGCACAAGGAGAUUUAAUGUGGCUCCCAGCACAAUCGCCAGGACAUGGAGGCGAUUCAGGAGACAGGCAGUUACUCUAGGAGAGCUGGACGGGCCGUAGAAGGUCCUCAACCCAUCAGCAGCACCGAAAUCUGCUGCUUUGUGCACGGAGGAACAGGUUGAGUACUGCCCGAGUCCUACAGAAUGACCUCCAGCAGGCCACUGGUCUGAAUGUCUCUGCCCAUCAGAAACAGACUUCAUGGGGGCGGCCUCAUUGCAUGACGUCUUGUAGUGUGCCAUGUGCUCACUGUCCACCCUGGAGCUCCAUUGGCAUUUGCUAUAGAUCACUAGGAUUGACAUCUCCACCACUGGCGCGCUGUCCUUCUCACAGAUGAGAGCAGGUUCCCCCUGAGCACCUGUGAUAGACGUGCAAGGGUCUGAAGAAACGAAGGAGAACAUAUGCUGCCUGCAACAUGGUUCAGCAUGGUGGUGGUCAGUGAUGGUCUAGAGAGGCAUAUCCAUGGAGAGACGCACAGAGGGACGCAAAGACUUCUACAGGCUAGAGAACGUCUGACUGCUAUUGGAGUAUCGGAAUUAAAUCCUUGAACCAUGGUCAGACCAUACGCUGGUGCAGUAGGUCCUGGGUUCCUCGUGGAGCACCACAAUGCCCGGCCUCAUGUGGCAAGCGUAUGCAGGCAGUACCUGGAGGAUGGAGGAAUUGAUUCCAUUGGAUGGCCCUCACAAUCACCUGACCUAAACCCGAUAGAACACCUUUGGGACAUUAUGUCUCGGCCCAUCAGACGCCACCAGGUUGCUCAUCAGACUUUACAGAGGCUCACUGAUGCCCUUAGACAGAUCUGGGAGGACAUCCCACAAGACUCGUCUCAUUAGGAGCAUGCCGCGACGUGUUUAAGCAUCCAUACAAGCAUGUGGGUGGCCACACCAGAUAUUGAAAAGCAUUUUAAGUGUCAGUAAUUGAAUUUAGGCAGACUGCACUAGGCUGCCACAUCAAGUUUUACCUUUUUUAUCAAAGCCCUCUGUAGGCUGAAACUUGUAUUUCCCCACACAAUGUGGCAUCCUUUCGUCCCUAAGCUAUUAAACUGUCCAUAUCAGUGAAGUGAAUUUUUCACAUUGAUAUCUGAUGUGUUCAAUGUGUUUCUUUAAAUCAUUUGAGCAUUGUAUUUCUGUUGUAUGUAUCAAUUUUAAGGACACCAGAUAUGUCUGACUUCAUCAGCUGAUUUAAUGAAAAUGCAAAAACUGAAUUGUUACUUCUAUGCUGUUGCUUUCCAAAAGCAACGUGUUCUGCGUUACCCCUUGAUUCUCGGACGUAUAAAGCAGCGUCACAGAUUGUUCGGUUUAACAAUUAUUUUUAAUGAGCACUCUGAAUACAGUGUUUUCGCCGUUCACACUCUUCAUUUGACCUGCUCUCGUUUCUCAGUCCCUACUGCCCUUUAUUGGGGAGGGAGACACACCCACACACACAGAUUAAGCUCAGCUGAGGCCGAUUAGACCUCAUCCCGGCACCGCUACCUGAACCACCCACUCGCUAGGUUCCCCCUCUGCAGCUGAGCUAACCCUGCCCCACCACCACAUACCUAUAUUUCUGUUUAAUAGGGAAUAUUACAAAUAUAUUGGCUAAUAUUCAUACUUAGUUUAAAUAGUCUGGAAGAUGAGGAGGAAGUUAAGACUACCCUUCGGAAUCAACCUGGCCCAGGUAAUGGCCCGCCGGGCCGUUUGUUUCUGCCUGAACCUCUUCGUUCAACUGUGCUCCAGUGGACACAUACUACGAAGAUUGCUGGUCACCCGGGCGUUACCCGUGCCAUGGCGCUAUUGCGCUGACGCUUCUGGUGGCCAGCCAUGGGAAAGGACACUCAGGGUUUUGUCGCUGCCUGUCCAGUUUGUGCGCAGAAUAAGGGAACCAAUCGAUCCAGUGCAGGACUACUACGUCCUCCACCGAUUCCCAGAUGGCCCUAGUCCCACCUGGCUCUGGACUUGUAACUGGUUUUCCCCCAUCUGAAGGUAACACGUUGUAUCACCCUGGUACGAGACUGCAACUCCAAAGGUUUCUAGGGUUUGCAAAUUUCUAGCGCCGGUUUAUCCAAGACUACAGCCGGGAGGCUGCUCCGUUGACAGCCCUGAUGUCCAGUGCCAGGUCCUUAUGCUGGACCCUCGGAGGCAGACAAAGCAUUCCUGGACCUGAAGAACCAGCACCCAUCCUCACACAGCCAGACACCAAACUUCAGUUCGUGGUGGAGGUGGAUGCAUCUGAUGUAAGGGUUGGCGCCAUCCUGUCCCAACGUAGCUCUGCUGACGGUAAGCUCCAUCCGUGUGCCUUUCUUUCACGUUGUCUCUCCACAGCAGAAAGAAACUAUGACGUAGGAAAUAGGGAACUACUCGCCGUCAAGCUCGCUUUGGAGGAGUCGUGCCACUGGCUAGAGGGAGCUGAGCAACCGUUUAUCGUCUGGACUGACCACAAGAAUCUCGUAUACGUGCAAUCGCCAGACGUCUCAACUCUCAUCAUGCCAGUUGGGCCUUAUUUUUUUGGUCGCUUCAACAUUUCCGUCACGUAUCGACCAGGCUCUUGGAAUGACAAAGCAGACGACUCAUCCCGUGUAUUCUCGAAGACCGAGUAGACGAGGGCCAAGACCGAGACUAUUCUUCCUGGGACAUUGUUGUGGGGGCAGUAGUCUGGAAGAUUGAGGAGGAAGUUAAGACUACCCUUCGGAAUCAACCUGGCCCAGGUAACGGCCCGCUGGGCCGUUUGUUUCUGCCUGAACCUCUUCGUUCAACUGUGCUCCAGUGGACACAUACUACGAAGAUUGCUGGUGACCCGGGCGUUACCCGUGCCAUGGCGCUAUUGCGCUGACGCUUCUGGUGGCCAGCCAUGGGAAAGGACACAGAUUUUGUCGCUGCCUGUCCAGUUUGUGCGCAGAAUAAGGGAACCAAUCGAUCCAGUGCAGGACUACUACAUCCUCUACCGAUUUCCAGAUGGCCCUAGUCCCACCUGGCUCUGGACUUUGUAACUGGUUUUCCCCCAUCUGAAGGUAACACGUUGUAUUAAACGUAGUUGAUAGAUUCAGCAAGUUUGCACACUUUCUGCCUCUCCCGAAACUCCCUUCUGCCACGGAAACGGCUGCAAUCCUGCUCUUCGAAGUUUUUAGGGUCCACUGUCUUCCUAGGGACAUCGUAUCAGACCGACGCCCUCAAUUUACAUCGGCAGUAUGGAAGGCCUUCUCCAGUGCCAUCGGAGCCCCCGCCAGUAUCUUGUCCGGAUUCCACCCCCAGUCCAACGGCCAAGCGGAGAGGGCCAACCAGAAGAUGGAGACAACACUUCGAUGUCUGGUCUCCUCUAAUCCCACCUCCUGAUCCUCUCAGCUUCCUUGGGCAGAAUACGCCCACAACACACCGGCGCCACGGGUAUGUCUGCCUUUCAAUGCCUUUACGGCUACCAACCCCCCUUGUUCCCCUCACAGGAGAAGGAUAUCGCUGUUCCCUCUGUCCAAGCUCAUGUCUGCCGCUGCCACCGGACCUGGCAUCGUGCCAGGGCUGCCCCCUUGAAGGCUUCUGGUCAGUAUCAGGUCCAGGCCAACCGUCGCCGUUCCCCUGCACCCCCCUAUGCUGUGGGGGACAAGGUCUGGCUCAGCCCAUUUGUGGUAGAGAGGAUCACAACCCUGCAGUAGUCCGGCUGAAGCUGCCCAGAUCCCUCAAGGUACACCCCACCUUUCAUGUCUCCUGCAUCAAGCCUGUCCUCCUCAGUCCCCUGCUACCCCCCUCCUCAGCCUCCUCCUUCUUGGAUCAUUGGCGGAGGUCCUGCCUACACGGUGCGCCGCAUCAUGGACUCCCAACAGCAAGGGCGAGGAUUCCAGUACCUCGUGGACUGGGAGGGCUAUGGCCCUGAAGCGAAGUGCUGGAUCCCUCGGCAUGAGAUCCUAGACGCAGACCUGCUGAGGGUUUCUACCAACUCCAUGCGUCCGUCACCACCCCAGCUCCCUGAGUACGUUUUCCUGUUAUCUGUGUCUGUUUGUUUCGGUUGCUGAGCAACGAGGACAAGGCGGGAGGUCCAGGAUCACUAGUGCCCGUUCCCACCUGUGCUCAAUCAAUCUGGUCCCGAUCAUCGUCACAACAGUACUUAAGCCGAGACCUGACAUCCAGUCCCUGCCGGAUCAUAUGCUCUCUAGUUCAUUCACCCUGGAUUCCCGUCACUCCUGCCUGGCAACCUAAACCUUUCAUCACAUCACGACAUCACCGGAAUUCACCUGUCUGCACGUCGGGAAUACCACUUCCUUUGUUCAAUAAAUACUCACCUUGUCACCACCUACA